Molecule: ribosomal RNA, 440 nt
Filed under: uncultured bacterium
Lineage: Bacteria
Description: partial 16S ribosomal RNA
Rfam family: Bacterial small subunit ribosomal RNA
Source: RNAcentral
CUACGGGGUGCUGCAGUGAGGAAUAUUGCACAAUGGGGGGAACCCUGAUGCAGCAACGCCGCGUGGAGGAUGACGCAUUUCGGUGUGUAAACUCCUUUUAUAUGUCAAGAAAAUGACGGUAGCAUAUGAAUAAGCACCGGCUAACUCGCGUGCCAGCAGCCGCGGUAAUACGGAGGGUGCAAGCGUUACUCGGAAUCACUGGGCGUAAAGGACGCGUAGGCGGGCUGGAAAGUCAGGUGUGAAAUCCUACAGCUUAACUGUAGAACUGCACUUGAAACUUCUAAUCUAGAGUAUGGGAGGGGGGGAUGGAAUUAGUGGUGUAGGGGUAAAAUCCGUAGAUAUCACUAGGAAUACCUAAAGCGAAGGCGAUCUCCUGGAACAUUACUGACGCUAAGGCGUGAAAGCGUGGGGAGCAAACAGGAUUAGAUACCCCAGUAGUC